AUAAAAUAGCUUGCUUUUUCGCAACCUUCCCUACAGGGUAAUGGGGAGUAUCUAGGAGUAUGAUUGGAGAUGCUUGUCAGUGCAUGACUUCUGGCAAAUUCUGAUCUUCUGAGUAAGACCCAGGCUGGUGGACACUGGGCUCUGAAUCAUCGCAGGUUACUUGUUCAACCGCAUUUUGCUCCUGGCUCCUCCUCUUGACCCUCCAGCUGCUCCUCCCAGCCUGGCUUGUCAGCUCUCCCCUCCUGUUUGAGGCCUCUUCCCCCAUUCCUCACUCCUCCUCCUCCAACCUGUGCCUCCCCUGCAGCCUCUCCCCAGAGCCUUGCAGCCAGAUGGCUUCAUUCUCCAUCGUGCAGGGUUGGGAGCACACCACGCCUCCUUCUGGCCUGGCCAGGGCCUCCUGGGUGCAGCCUCCAGUUAGCGUUCGCAGCUUGCAAAAGUGCAUCUAGUUGUGAAGCAGCCGCACAGGAGGUGUCAGGACUCCCUCGGGGCAUGCAAAGGAGCCACCUUGCUGCAGGGCUGCGUUUCUGAGAUGGAGGCAGAAAGGAGGCAACGCUGCAGCAUGCAUUCUGCCUUUUCUGCCUACUUGGACUCGGU
RNAcentral lists this long non-coding RNA (594 nucleotides) under Cairina moschata (Muscovy duck). RNAcentral's name for it is "domestica (muscovy Duck (domestic type)) lncRNA (ENSCMMG00000013133.1)". The record is from RNAcentral. Lineage: Eukaryota; Metazoa; Chordata; Aves; Anseriformes; Anatidae.